RNAcentral lists this unclassified non-coding RNA (152 nucleotides) under soil metagenome. Its description in RNAcentral is "partial internal transcribed spacer 1". The record is from RNAcentral.
CCGAGUUUACAACUCCCAAACCCUGUGAACAUACCACUACGUUGCCUCGGCGGGAUCGAGGCCCGCUCCCGGUAAAGAGCCGGACAGGCCCGCCGGAGGUACCCUAAACUCUUGUUUACCAGUGCACUUCUGAGUAAUUACUUAAAUAAUCA